UACGUAGGGGGCAAGCGUUGUCCGGAAUCAUUGGGCGUAAAGAGCGUGUAGGCGGCUUGGUAAGUCCGCUGUGAAAGUCCAGGGCUCAACCCUGGAAAGCCGGUGGAAACUGUCAAGCUUGAGUCCGGAAGAGGCGAGUGGAAUUCCUGGUGUAGCGGUGAAAUGCGUAGAUAUCGUCUGGAACGCCGAAGGUGAAAACAGCUCGCUGGGGCCGCGCUGACGCUGAGACACGAAAGCCAGGGGAGCGAACGGG
Molecule: ribosomal RNA, 253 nt
Filed under: uncultured bacterium
Lineage: Bacteria
Description: partial 16S ribosomal RNA
Rfam family: Bacterial small subunit ribosomal RNA
Source: RNAcentral